RNAcentral lists this ribosomal RNA (497 nucleotides) under uncultured bacterium. RNAcentral's name for it is "partial 16S ribosomal RNA". It matches the Rfam family "Bacterial small subunit ribosomal RNA", at positions 28 to 507 of the family's 1533-position model. The record is from RNAcentral.
GAUGAACGCUGGCGGCGUGCCUAAUACAUGCAAGUCGAGCGAACGGACGAGAAGCUUGCUUCUCUGAUGUUAGCGGCGGACGGGUGAGUAACACGUGGAUAACCUACCUAUAAGACUGGGAUAACUUCGGGAAACCGGAGCUAAUACCGGAUAAUAUUUUGAACCGCAUGGUUCAAAAGUUAAAGACGGUCUUGCUGUCACUUAUAGAUGGAUCCGCGCUGCAUUCGCUAGUUGGUAAGGUAACGGCUUACCAAGGCAACGAUGCAUACCCGACCUGAGAGGGUGAUCCGCCACACUGGCACUGAGACACGGUCCAGACUCCUACGGGAGGAAGCAGUAGGGACUCUUCCGCAAUGGGCGAAAGCCUGACGGAGCAAAGCCGCGUGAGUGAUGAAGGUCUUCGGCUCGUAAAACUCUGUUAGUAGGGAAGAACAUAUGUGUAAGUAACUGUGAACAUCUUGACGGUACCUAAUCAGAAAGCCCCGGCUAACUACGUG